CCUACGGGAGGCAGCAGUGGGGAAUAUUGCACAAUGGGCGAAACCCUGAUGCAGCGACGCCGCGUGAGUGAAGAAGUAAUUCGUUAUGUAAAGCUCUAUCAGCAGGGAAGAAAAUGACGGUACCUGAGUCAGAAGCUUCGGCUAACUACGUGCCAGCAGCCGCGGUCAUACGUAGGGGGCACGCGUUAUCCGGAAUUACUGGGGGUAAAGGGAGCGUAGACGGGAGUGCAAGUCUGGAGUGAAAGGUGGGGGCUCAACCCCCGGACUGCUCUGGAAACUGGACGGCUGGAGUGCAGGAGAGGUGAGUGGAAUUCCUGGGGUAGCGGUGAAAUGCGUAGAUAUAAGGAGGAACACCAGUGGCGAAGGCGGCUUACUGGACUGUAACUGACGUUGAGGCUCGAAAGCGUGGGGAGCAAACAGGAUUAGAUACCCCGGUAGUC
Molecule: ribosomal RNA, 440 nt
Filed under: uncultured bacterium
Lineage: Bacteria
Description: partial 16S ribosomal RNA
Rfam family: Bacterial small subunit ribosomal RNA
Source: RNAcentral